CCCUUAGAUGUCCUGGGCCGCACGCGCGCUACACUGAUGCAUUCAACGAGUCUAAAACCUGCUCUGAUAGGGGUGGGUAAUCUUUUGAAUGUGCAUCGUGAUUGGGAUAGAUGAUUGCAAUUUUUCAUCUUCAACGAGGAAUGCCUAGUAAACGCAAGUCAUCAGCUUGCAUUGAUUACGUCCCCGCCCUUUGUACACACCGCCCGUCGCUCCUACCGAUUGAAUGAUCCGAUGAAUAUCAUGGAUUGAGGAUGCAAGUAGGUUCGCCUAUCUUCAUCUUCGAGAAGUGAAGUAAAUCUUAUCAUUUAGAGGAAGGAGAAGUCGUAACA
Molecule: ribosomal RNA, 329 nt
Filed under: uncultured eukaryote
Lineage: Eukaryota
Description: partial 18S ribosomal RNA
Rfam family: Eukaryotic small subunit ribosomal RNA
Source: RNAcentral